RNAcentral lists this ribosomal RNA (502 nucleotides) under uncultured Actinomycetes bacterium. Its description in RNAcentral is "bacterial SSU rRNA". It matches the Rfam family "Bacterial small subunit ribosomal RNA", at positions 355 to 870 of the family's 1533-position model. Lineage: Bacteria; Bacillati; Actinomycetota; Actinomycetes. The record is from RNAcentral.
UGGGGAAUCUUGCACAAUGGGCGAAAGCCUGAUGCAGCAACGCCGCGUGCGGGAAGAAGGCCCUAGGGUUGUAAACCGCUUUCAGCAGGGAAGAAGAUGACGGUACCUGUAGAAGAAGGUGCGGCCAACUACGUGCCAGCAGCCGCGGUGACACGUAGGCACCAAGCGUUGUCCGGAUUUAUUGGGCGUAAAGAGCUCGUAGGCGGUUCGGUAAGUCGGGUGUGAAAACUCUGGGCUCAACCCAGAGCCGCCACCCGAUACUGCUGUGACUUGAGUUCGGUAGGGGAGCGGGGAAUUCCUGGUGUAGCGGUGAAAUGCGCAGAUAUCAGGAGGAACACCAGUGGCGAAGGCGCCGCUCUGGGCCGAGACUGACGCUGAGGAGCGAAAGCGUGGGUAGCAAACAGGAUUAGAUACCCUGGUAGUCCACGCCGUAAACGUUGGGGCACUAGGUGUGGGUCUUAACCAACGAGAUCCGCGCCGUCGCUAACGCAUUAAGUGUCCC